AAGCUUUUCAUGCCUGCUUCUCAUUCCUUUAGGGCAGAAUUCAUCUAUAAUAUGCUACAUUAAAAUAAAAAGACUCCACAGGGCUACCAACCUUACAGUAGAGGUUGAGUAGCCAUACAUUUCUACACAC
Small nucleolar RNA from Sorex araneus (European shrew), 130 nucleotides. The record is from Ensembl. Lineage: Eukaryota; Metazoa; Chordata; Mammalia; Eulipotyphla; Soricidae.